AAAUUUAAUACUUUUAUCUUUCAUAAUUUUAAGCAUUUAUAUAUUAAAAUAUAUUUUAAUUUAUUACAUAUAUUAAAAUAAAAAUCUUAUAUUUCAGUUUAUUGUUAAAAUAUUUAUCAGGUUAUUUUCAAAUCAGUUACAGUCCAAAUUAAAUUGAAAAGGGAAUGGGGAAAAGAUAAGCUUAGAAAAUCUAGUAAAUAUAUGGAGUGUUUUACGAGAUAUCGGCGACGUGGAAGAAAAUGUUGACGGCAAUGCAGAAAUAUAGUUUCUUAUGUAUAUUUUUGUGACAUAAAAAUUAAGUAAUGUUAGUUAAAA
This is a non-coding RNA of Hydra vulgaris (swiftwater hydra), 315 nucleotides long. The record is from RefSeq and is a predicted model, not a curated record. Lineage: Eukaryota; Metazoa; Cnidaria; Hydrozoa; Anthoathecata; Hydridae.